UGCCAUAAGGGCUAGUAUUACCCUUAUGGCAUGAUUGUAGCACGUAGCA
Molecule: small RNA, 49 nt
Filed under: human gut metagenome
Description: ssNA-helicase RNA
Rfam family: ssNA-helicase RNA
About the family: Firmicutes, Actinobacteria (1 example). Downstream gene
Source: RNAcentral